GGUUCUCCCUAGAGCAUGAAGUUGUGGCUGUAACUGGCUUGUGUUUAUGAUUACAUCUGCAAUACUAAAGAGGAAAUAGAUGCUCUGCGAAAUGGAACUCGGCAAUAUUUCCUUUUGAGAUCUUGGGGGCCGGCCGCAUCGGGACUUUAAUGAAUGACUUGGAAUCUUCUAACCUCCAGAUUUUUGAUCCCCGCCUCUCCCAGGUUUCAGAAUUCCCAGACUACGGUAGCAGCCAGUGCUUUGUACCUAGUUUCUUGCUGUGAAGAUGUAUGUGAUGGAGACUGAUACUGAGCACAGAAAUGAUGGGAGUGGGAAAUGGUUUAGGAGAAGGUAAGGCUGAGAAAACCGUUCUGUAAUGCAUCAAGAUCAGGCAUGAGACCAACUCACUAAGCACAGUCCACUAAUCGCAGAUGUCUUUGGCCAUCAUUCAUUUCUUCUUGCUGUAUCCUUAAUGUGGGGUUUUCAGCCCUUCUUGGCUGGGAGAAAUCUCAUUUUGCAAAUCUUGGCUCCAAUGUCUUCUCCAUCUUUUCUGUGAGGGCUUCCCAUGUCACAGUGGUAACAAAAAAAUUCUCUUUUUGCUUCCGUGUCGUGGAACUUUGCUUACCUCAACUUACUGAUUUUCAUAUUGUUUAAUGUUUUAGUUAAUUAGUUGGAUACCUUUCUCUCUUAAGAUUUUACAAACUCUUUAGAUCUAGACUGUCAUCUCUAUAGCCCAUAACAUCUAGUUUAGGGAUGCAUUUGCCUGUAAGCAACAGAAAUCUGCCUUAAGGUAACUUUACCAGAGAGUUUGCUUCCCUUACAUCAUAAGAAGCUUUGGUUAGGAGGCAGCUGAAGUCAUUGGUUCAGCAGCUCAGCAAUGCCUAGACUAAAUCUCCAAAAUUGUCUUGGCAUUGCCGUCUUGGUCACAAGGUGGUAGCUGCUCAGCCAGCCUUUCUCUGCAUUCCAGGCAGAUAGGAAUAGGGUUCUGAAGAGACAAGCAGCAUUCCUUUAUAUCUCAUAGGUCAGAACUGAGUCACCUGGCAAUUCCUAUCUGUAGCAAAGGUAGGGGUGUUGAUUUUUUUUUUUUUUUUUUUUUUUUUUUUUUUGCAGACACUGUAGUAGUAAAUGGAAAAGGAAAGGAGAUUGGAUUGGAUUUUGAAUCUGCCAUCCGCCAAAGGCUAACAGCAUGCUGAGUGCUUAUGCUUGUGGAAGGACUUGACCAUUCAGCUGUGUUCAAGCAGAAACUCUUCAUCACAAGGUCUUCUGGUGCAGGAGGAACAAAGACUAACACUUUAGAAAGACACUUGCUUUAGUGUGACAUAAAACCAUAAAUUAAGCUUUAAUUUGGCAACUGCUUUUCAAAGAAGAGCUUCAUAAAUCAUCACGCAUCCUUAUCAUCUUGUGCUUUAAUUUUUAAUGGCACACAUAAUGAAAUCAACAAAACAAAUGUGGUAAGAGAAGGCACAGAAAUCAGAUGAGAAUAUGGGAAAAAAGGAAGGCACUCAUGAGCGAUCCAUGUAUACUGUGCAGGAAGGUAGCGGGGAGGGAGGGAGGGAGGACUUGGAAGGCAGAAAGAAACUAAAAACCUCCUGAUGUGAGCAGUGGAAUCACAUGCAUUUUGAUAAAAGGGUCACAUGUUAAAAUGUGAUUUUAAGAUUAAUCUGCUAGAACAAUGCAAUAUUAUUGUUUCUUUUCCAGACCACCUGAAAACUCAGAUCAAAUGGAGUAAUGAUUUGAAAUUUAGUUGACCUUUCCUUUUGGUCUUAACACUUUCCCAAAUAGUCUUGUAUAAAGUUCAUAAACUUUUCUUUUUGAAUUUGUGCUUGUACUUUUUUUUUUCUUUCCCAAAUAUUCAUAUUGAGAUUUUUACCCUGCAACCACGGGGUUAAGCAGAACACAUUAUUUUAUUUUCUUCUUCAGUGAGUGUGUCAAUUUGAACAAGACUGGCCAAAUUGCUUUCUUUCUUUCUUUUUUCUCCUAAAUCAAACUGUCUGUUCUGAAGAGGAGCACGUUGUGUUUCUAUUAAACAAAAUAACACGUUCUGCUCCGAUAUUUAACAGGGCGAAGCUCAGCCUCACCGUCUCUCUGCUUCACUGACAAGAGAGCUUACUGAGGAACAUUUUUCCCCCUUUGAGAGGUCUCGAGAGGGUCUGUCACAUUUUUUUUUUUCUUUUUUUGUUCCCAGCGAUUUCUGUUGCUGCAAUGGGGCUUGGCUGUGAUAAAUGACAUAAGCUUGUUGUACCUUACAUGCAAAUUCAGAGAAAGAAAAAUGGGAAGUAGAAAGAGGAUAUUUCACUUUCCUUAUCUAAAAUAAUCAGCUUUACUUAAUUGAUUUGUGGGCCUUUUCUCAUGAAACAGUAAACCUAUUAGAAGAGAGACAAGAUAAUAAAUUAUGGAAAGAUCUUUGCAAAGGCUUGUCAUUGGUUGGUAAUGGUGACCGUAAGGACACAGGAUUGAUCACAUCAGGCUGGCUCUUGAUCCAUCUAGUCCAGUAGCCUGUCAUUGGCACUUGCACCAGGAGACGUGAUUGGUCUUCACGAUGUUUCCAUUAAAAGUUG
Molecule: long non-coding RNA, 2537 nt
Organism: Macaca mulatta (Rhesus monkey)
Lineage: Eukaryota; Metazoa; Chordata; Mammalia; Primates; Cercopithecidae
Source: Ensembl